GAUGAACGCUGGCGGCGUGCCUAAUACAUGCAAGUCGAGCGAAGCGGGGACGGGUGAUUACUACGUGGCUAACCUCCUCUAAGAAUGGGAUCACUUCGGGAAACCGGAGCUAAACCGGAUACUUGUCGAUUGUACCGGGCUGCAUUAGCUAGUUGGUACGGUAACGGCUUACCAAGGCGACGAUGCAUAGCCGACCUGAGAGGGUGAUCGGCCACACUGGAACUGAGACACGGUCCAGACUCCUACGGGAGGCAGCAGUAGGGAAUCUUCCGCAAUGGGCGAAAGCCUGACGGAGCAACGCCGCGUGUGUGAUGAAGGUCUUCGGAUCGUAAAACUCUUUUAGUAGGGAAGCGGUACCUACUCAGAAAGCAACGGCUAACUUCGUGCCAGCAGCCGCGGUAAUAC
RNAcentral lists this ribosomal RNA (405 nucleotides) under uncultured bacterium. Its description in RNAcentral is "partial 16S ribosomal RNA". It matches the Rfam family "Bacterial small subunit ribosomal RNA", at positions 28 to 526 of the family's 1533-position model. The record is from RNAcentral.